This 147-nucleotide unclassified non-coding RNA is filed under the name Mycosphaerella rosigena. RNAcentral's name for it is "sequence contains ITS2". Lineage: Eukaryota; Fungi; Ascomycota; Dothideomycetes; Mycosphaerellales; Mycosphaerellaceae. The record is from RNAcentral.
CACCACUCGAGUCUGACUCGGUAUUGGGCGUCGCGCAUUGCCGCGCGCCUUAAAGUCUCCGGCUGGGCGGCCCGUCUCCGAGCGUUGUGACAUCACAGUUUCGCUAGGGAGUCGCGGGCGGCGUUGGCCGUUAAAUACCCCAUCAAA